GAUGCCAGGGAUAGAACAGAGGACCUUCUGAAUGGAAUUUACCACUGAAUUACAAGCACCUGCACCUUGUCAGUCAGUCACAUGCCUAUAUAAAUGCAUCCGCAUGAGCAACAAGGCCUUAUUUGGAGCACAGCCAGCCGUUCCAUAUGCUAUAGCAGAACCGGGACUCAAGAGGACUCACAAUAAAUAAAACAAGCAUGGAUAAAACACAGAUACCUAAAAACAUAUAAAAGGUAAAAGAGUAGUUUAAAAGUAAUUAAAAUAUAAUAAAAUGAAAAUGAUAUAAAAACAAAUCUGUUGAAAUGCAGAUUUUAAAAUAGCAAGUACUAUUAAAAGCUCUUUCCUUUAAGAGCAAUUAUUGUUGUUUUGUCUAUUUAGUGAUGGUUAGCUCCUGAAUUUAUAUGUGGCUCACAGUGCAGUUAUCAGUCAGAUUGAUAACUACAAAUUCUCUCUCUCUCUCUCUCAAUAAAACCUGCAUAUAGAAAUGCCUCUUUUAUGGGGAAAUGCAUAUAAAAUGUAUAUUUUAGAGGAAAGCAUACAAAAAUAUGCAUUUGAGGGGUGAAAUGUAUGCAAAAUGCCUAUUUUAGGAGAAAAUGCAUUCAAAAAUGCAUAUAUUAGGAAAAAUGCAAUUUAAAUGCAGAUGUUCAAUGUGGUUUUAAAAAUAUCCAUGGAAAAUAGGUUGGAGCAGACUCCAGGGAUGAAUGUGUGUGCAAGUGGCACAGAAGGAAAAUAGGCUGAUCUGUCCGUGCCUCAAUUUCACAUGCCGGCAAGAUGCUUUUUAAAUUGCCAGUAACAGAUUGCAGGAGAAUUAUGCUUUUCCUGGCAUGUCUUUAACCUAAAGAACAAACACCUACUUGACUUUUAAAAUAGUGAAAGACCAGCAGUUUCUGUCUACAUGAAUAUAGCACAAAGCAGAUGGAGUAAUCUGUUGAGGUGGAAGAGUGGCAGGGAAGACAACCUUGAGCUGGGAAACAAGCCCUGGUGAGAGACUAGGAAUAUUACAGACUUGACUCUAGUCAUAGCCACAGCAUACCACUUUAAGAGUCACAGUUCCCACCCCCACCCCACCCAAAGAAUCCUGGGAACUGUAGUUUUCC
Molecule: long non-coding RNA, 1097 nt
Filed under: Podarcis muralis (Common wall lizard)
Lineage: Eukaryota; Metazoa; Chordata; Lepidosauria; Squamata; Lacertidae
Description: lncRNA (ENSPMRG00000008264.1)
Source: RNAcentral